CUCCGUCCAAUCCAAUGAAGCCUCAACAAAUGGGUAGCUGCUUAGCCUGUGGAAAUUGUCUUGCUGGUUGCCCUUAUAAUGCCAAAAAUUCCACCGACAAGAACUAUAUUCUUUCUGCAAUUCAGGCAUAUUUUCUCUGACUUCAUAUGCAUUUUGACAUUUUGUAUCUAAAAUUUAUAUCUAUACAUACAUUGAUUGCUUUUAUAUCAAUUUAAGUGUUAGAUUGGCAAACAUUGCUAUCCGAACAGCAUCACUCCAUCUAGAUCCUAUCUGUAUGAUUAUAGUUCCAACAUGUUCUGUCAUUGAUCCAUUCUUGACAAUGGCUCAGUAACCUUAACUAAUUUGGAAACAGUAUGGAGUAAAAUAAUGCCCUAUGCAAUUUCAAAUCAUAUCCUCAUUUGUAAUAUAAAUGUCUCUGUUCAAAUCUGACUUUUUUUCCUUUCCCUGAUGCAGGCUGGAUGCAUAGUUAAAACACAAUGUGAAGUUAAGUGUGUUGUCAAAAACCCAUAUGUAAGUUCGCAAGAUGUGAAAACUAGCGGAAAAAGCAGAAGAUGGUUUGUUUAUUUAAAUGAGGUUGACUAUAUAACUGCUGAUUUUGUAAUCCUAUCAGGUAGGAAUCUGUAGUGACAAAUGUUAGAUCUGUUACUAGAAUAGAAUUUCUAAACCUCUUACAAGAUUAAAACUUUGUGUUCUCAGCGGGUGUUUUUGGCACUACUCAGAUUCUCUUUCAGUCACAAAUGAGAGGAUUAAAUCUUUCAGACGCACUUGGGUGUGGAUUCAGCUGCAAUGGGAAUACUGUCGCUUUUCUUGCCGGAAGCCCUGCUCCCCUAAAUUCUUAUGGAUUAGUCAGAAAGAAAAUCCUAGAGACACCAUUUCAACUGCGACCAGGGCCAGCCAUCUCUUCAUCUUACACUUCUUCAUUGGGUUUCACAAUCCAGGUCUAAGGUUUCAGUGCACUCAUAAGUCAAUUUACUUUAGCUCUCAUGUACUUCUACUUUCGUGAUACAAGAUGUGAAAGUAUAUGAUCAUCAGAGUACUCAUUUUGCUUUUGCUUUUGCUUUAUGGUAGUUAAAAAAUCUCCUGACACUAGUUUUCUUUUCUUUCUCUGCAGAAUGCCGUACUUCCAACUGCUUAUCCCUACUUGCUGUUUAAAGGGAUCACAACUUAUGGAUGGCCGACUGGUUACUGGUUUUUUCAUGGGAUUAUAGAUAAGCUGAAGCAUUUUGCAGGUUUUAAAUCAAGCCAAGCAAUGGUGCUUAAUGCAAUGGGAUAUGAUGAGGGCGAUGGGAAAAUCAUGUUUGAGAAGAGCACUAACAAAAUCUGCUUUAGUCCACCUCGUGAUCCUUUGCUGCCACGAAAAGUUGAGGCCUUUCAAAAGCUUACCAAGAAAUUAGGGGGAAUCCUUUUCUUAUCAAGGUAUCGAAGCACUUCGGUUCAUCUUUUAGGUGGUUGCAAUGCAUCUUCAGAUCCUUCACAAGGGGUUUGUAACUCCGUUGGUCAGGUUUUUGACCCAAAGGCCGCUGCUGGUGUGCACCCAGGCCUAUAUGUCUGUGAUGGUUCUUUAAUACCAUGUUCUGUUGGUGUGAACCCUUGCCUUACUAUUGCAGCAGUAGCAGAGCAUGUAAGUAGGCAUCUCGUGAAGGAUGUUAUUGAGUACAAGAACAAAAAAGGCAUAGAAGAUGUUGCUAAAACUGUUGAUAAGAAUUUGAAGAGCACUCAGAGAUCAAUGGUUGUGAUUAAAGAGACUAUGAAAGGUUACAUUGGGGGUAUGCCAUGCACUGCUUAUCUCAAAAUGAAGAUGAACUCUCAGAAUCUUCAGGGUUUUGAUUAUACGAAUUCUGUGAUGGAGGAUUCUCAUUCGCUACUAAGAGGAAAAGUUGGUGGGUGUGUUGUAUUUACAGCUAUUGACAAGGAUACAUUACAUGUUAUAGAUGGGGAUGUUGAUCUAUGCCAAGUGGAUUCCAGAACUCCUUACACACAGUACAUGCGCUACCGUAUUCUUCUUGCAGCUUCUUCUGGCUUAAGGUACAAUAAACUUUGAAUUUGAUUCACUCUUUCACUUUCCUUUUUCCCCUACAUAACUUUUAAAAUCUGAUUCUGUGCAGAUAUAUUCUUGAGGGAAAGAAGAUAAUGAAUCCUUUUCUCUUUGCGUUAUAUGCUUGGAGGGAGACAACUACGUUGCACGUAACAUUCAAAAAUGUUUCUGGCAAUGGUCUGCGGGAUGAAGUCACAAAUUUAACAGGGGAGCUUAAAAUUUCCGUGAUAGAGCUACUGAAGAGCCUCAUGACCCUUGAAGGGAACAGGAGGAUAAACUUCGCAUGUCUUCUCACACAGAGUGUCCUGAGGACCUAUAUUUUACAAAUACCACGAGGGGGCCACAAUGACUGUAACUUGCCAGAUUCUUACCAUAAACAUUAUCCGAGCAGCUCUGUUCAUGAAAUUAAAGCAGGUAUUAAAAAAUCUACUUCAAUUGGUUAAGAUCCUGGAGAUAGAAAUUUGCUUAGAUUUCACCUGAUCAGGUGCAAAUCAAAGUUAGUUGUUAGAAGACAAUAAACGGAACAUUUAUAUGUUUUAAAUAGGGAAGAGUGCGCUGCAAUCCUUAAUUUUGCAUGAUUCCACAAAAAACUACAAAUUAUUUCACUUUAAUACACUCAGAUUACUGAUAUGACACUUGUCCAAACUGAAAUGAUGGACCAAAGGUAAGAAUUGUUAAUUUUAUUUUCUUCACUGAUACAAGUUUCUGUUUUCGUUGGUUGCUAUGGAUCAUACAGAAGACGGACGUAUCAUCUGUUGCAGGCAAUGGAAAUGUGGUCAAACUCCUAGGAGGCUUAAAGGAGAGAAACAACUAAAUCCAGUUCUCCUUCUUAAUGGAUAUUCUAUAGAAAGUUACUGGCUCCCAACGGAACCAAAUGAUUUAGUUAGAACACUAUUGGAAGAAGGGCACGAGACGUGGCUACUGCAAUCGCGAUUGCAUCCUUUAAAUCCUGCAGACAACUUCACAAUUGAAGAUAUUGGAAGAUAUGAUAUUCCUGCUGGUAAAGGAAGGAUGCAAAAAAUCCAGUCGAAUUUAUAUCUUACACUCGUUUAGUUGUAGUCUGAGUGAGCAUUUUCUUAUCUAUGUUAUUUUUACAGCAAUUGGUAAGAUCCUCGAGUUGCACGGACACAACAUAAAGGUUCACAUAGUUGCUCACUGUGCUGGAGGCCUAGCCAUUCACAUAGCUCUUAUGGGAGGGCAUAUCUCUGCAACCCACAUAGCUUCUUUGUCUUGCACAAACUCUUCAAUGUUCUUCAAGCUGAAUGCAUUGGCUACAUUCAAAAUGUGGCUUCCUCUGGUGCCCGUAAGUUUCUCUCUCUCACUCUCUUUUUUUUUUUUUAAAUAAUCUCAAACUUGGAAUCUGUUAGAUGUUUUACUCCAGCAGCAAUCAGUACUGGUGGAAAUCAUCAGUCUCGACUUUUGGAGUUGUGAUACAUGUUUGAAAUAGGGAGCAUAUGUUUCAAAGAGUAUUAAUAGUUUUAUAGCAGGAGACAUCUUCUUACAUGUUUGCAAACCUAUAGCUUGAGCCUCAUUUAACAUAACUCAAUCUGCAGGUAUCAAUGGCUAUACUGGGCAAGAACAAUAUUCUGCCUCUGUUAGAAAGGUCAGAAACCAGUUUCCGCCACCAUCUCUUGAGAUGCAUUGCCCGUUUUAUCCCACGCUAUGAGAGAUGCACAUGUAAUGAAUGUGAGGUCCUAUCUGGUGUAUUUGGUAAUGUUUUCUGGCAUCAAAAUAUAAGCCGUACAAUGCACCAUUGGAUAUACAGGGAAAACACAACAAGGCUUCCCAUGGCAGGAUUUCCUCACCUCAGAAAAAUUUGCAACUCGGGAUUUAUCGUGGACAGCCAUGGAAACAACUCGUAUCUGAUCCAUCCAGAGAGAAUGAAACUCUCGACGCUGUAUAUCUCUGGCGGACGGAGUCUUCUUGUGACUCCAGAGACUUCUUUUCUGGGCAACAAGUAUAUGAAAAUGCACCAACCGGGUUUUAGACAUGAACGGGUAGUUGUGGAUGGUUUUGGGCAUUCAGAUUUAUUAAUCGGGGAGGAGGCUGAUAAGAAAGUCUUUCCUCACAUAUUAUCUCACAUAAGAUUGGCUGAACAAGGGAAAAAUGGUGUGAUCAGUUCAGGAGAGAAAUAUAGCAAAGAGUCCUUAGCUUGGGAAGAUGAUUUCUACUCUGCGUCCAGAGGAUUUGGAAGCAGCUGGUAUUCCCAAAGGAUUGUUGUUUUGUUGAUGUUGUUGUGGGUUGUUAUUAUGUUGAUUUCAUUAUUCCUAUGAUUCAUAAACUACAGUGAGGAAAAGAACCAUUAUGGGGAAUUGCUCAGUUUACGUUUACAGCCAUGAAUAAGAUUUUCAGUGGCAUCAGUGCGCUUGAUGCGUUAGUUUCUGCAGGCAAGGUGGGUAACUGUUGACUCUUAUCAACAGCAUGCAGUCAUCACAGGACUUGCUAGCAUGAUCAAGAAGGAAGUGGGUUAGUCUUGAGUCAUUAUCAUCCACAACAUCAAAGAAUAUUAAUAAUAAAAGCAGUUGCUCUAAAGUAGAUGCGGGUCAAUCGAGCUUAAAUACCCAAAGCUAAUCGGGCUGACUAUGCCGUUCUACCAUUGACAACCUCUAAAGUCCAUCAACCUCUCUCUUGAGGAAAAACUUCAAUUAACUGAUUAACAGAAUCAUUAUUUACAAGGCAUCUAUGUUCUUUCAAAACUAUCCUUAAUUCAAUCUCUUUCCGCCAAAUCGCUUCUUCUUUAUGAAUAUUUUUUAAAAAAAAAAAGAAAUAAUACUUCAUUUUAAUGAAUAGGGGACGGCAAAAAAAAGUGAAAUAUCUUUUCAUCAAAAUAAAUUGAGAUUUGACAUACCAGAAAUUGUUUAAAGGAAGGAUGAAGAUGAGAGAAGUGUCGGUGUUGAGUGGCGAGCUAUAGACAUGCGAACGCGGUAGCCGUACGUGUCACAAAUACCUGCUUCAUUGGAGCUGGCGGCGCAAAACGCUGAGACUCUAUUUUUGUUAUACAAGUCGCCUUGGAUCUUCAUCUUCUUAAUUAUUACUAUUAUUAUUAUUAUUAUUAUUAUUACUAUUAUUGUCAAGUUCUUUAAUUAAUCUCGUCAAUUGUUGAUUCUUCAAUGAUUCAAUUUAAUUUGGGAUAAAAAUAAAGAAAGAAAACAGAUUAUAAUGGGAGAGAGAGAGAAGGAGAGAGUCAAUAUUGAAUUGUACAAAAAGCGAGUUAGGG
This 5252-nucleotide long non-coding RNA is filed under the name Citrus maxima (pomelo). RNAcentral's name for it is "long non-coding RNA (CMAX_LNC002863)". The record is from RNAcentral. Lineage: Eukaryota; Viridiplantae; Streptophyta; Magnoliopsida; Sapindales; Rutaceae.